Long non-coding RNA from Oreochromis aureus, 579 nucleotides. RefSeq lists it as uncharacterized. NCBI's taxonomy places the organism in Eukaryota, Metazoa, Chordata, Actinopteri, Cichliformes, Cichlidae. The record is from RefSeq and is a predicted model, not a curated record. The transcript has 4 exons.
CCUGAACACACACCUGUGGCUCAUUCACACUGAUCCUGGCAGACUACUUAAGAUGGCAAGAGAGGCUGCUUCCUCGCUGAUUGUCACACUGCCUAGCGUCAGUGUAGCCUAGCCUUUCAAAGUAUUCCUUGUGAUCCCCUAGAGUUUCCUCCUAACAUUGUUUUUCUCUGUGUACAGGCCUUCUAGAUUCCCUGCCAUCUGGAGUUCUGUGGAUGUGUGUGAGUGAGCCCAGUAGUAAAGUUGCAGAACAACAGAGGAAACAACAAAUACUCAUACACCAGCAACUCUGACGAUAACCUGCUGAAGAACAUUGAACUGUUUGACAAACUCGUCCUGCGAUUUAAUGGCCGCGUCCUGUUUGUCAAAGACGUGCUGGGGGAUGAGAUCUGCUGCUGGUCUUUUUAUGGCGAAGGCCGCAAGAUUGCUGAAGUGUGCUGCACUUCCAUUGUCUAUGCUACAGAGAAGAAGCAGACCAAAGUUGAGUUUCCCGAAGCCCGAAUAUUCAAAGAAACCCUCAAUAUCCUCAUCUAUGAGAACAACAGAGGAUCUGGACCAGGAGGCUUGCACCUUUUAGAUUCA